Molecule: transfer RNA, 75 nt
Filed under: Chloroflexota bacterium
Lineage: Bacteria; Bacillati; Chloroflexota
Also listed under: 1 other name
Description: tRNA-Thr
Rfam family: tRNA
About the family: Transfer RNA (tRNA) molecules are approximately 80 nucleotides in length. Their secondary structure includes four short double-helical elements and three loops (D, anti-codon, and T loops). Further hydrogen bonds mediate the characteristic L-shaped molecular structure. tRNAs have two regions of fundamental functional importance: the anti-codon, which is responsible for specific mRNA codon recognition, and the 3' end, to which the tRNAs corresponding amino acid is attached (by aminoacyl-tRNA synthetases). tRNAs cope with the degeneracy of the genetic code in two manners: having more than one tRNA (with a specific anti-codon) for a particular amino acid; and 'wobble' base-pairing, i.e. permitting non-standard base-pairing at the 3rd anti-codon position.
Source: RNAcentral
GCCGACGUAGCUCAACGGCAGAGCGCCUGUUUUGUAAACAGGGGGUUACCGGUUCGAAUCCGGUCGUCGGCUCCA